GACGAACGCUGGCGGCGUGCUUAACACAUGCAAGUCGAACGGAAAGGCCCUGCUUUUGUGGGGUGCUCGAGUGGCGAAAGGGUGAGUAACACGUGAGUAACCUGCCCUUGACUUUGGGAUAACUUCAGGAAACUGGGGCUAAUACCGGAUAGGAGCUCCUGCUGCAUGGUGGGGGUUGGAAAGUUUCGGCGGUUGGGGAUGGACUCGCGGCUUAUCAGCUUGUUGGUGGGGUAGUGGCUUACCAAGGCUUUGACGGGUAGCCGGCCUGAGAGGGUGACCGGCCACAUUGGGACUGAGAUACGGCCCAGACUCCUACGGGAGGCAGCAGUGGGGAAUAGUGCACAAUGGGCGGAAGCCUGAUGCAGCAACGCCGCGUGCGGGAUGACGGCCUUCGGGUUGUAAACCGCUUGCGCCUGUGACGAAGCGUGAGUGACGGUAAUGGGUAAAGAAGCACCGGCUAACUACGUG
RNAcentral lists this ribosomal RNA (468 nucleotides) under uncultured bacterium. RNAcentral's name for it is "partial 16S ribosomal RNA". It matches the Rfam family "Bacterial small subunit ribosomal RNA", at positions 28 to 507 of the family's 1533-position model. The record is from RNAcentral.